Cryptotermes secundus is the source of this 2480-nucleotide long non-coding RNA. RefSeq lists it as uncharacterized. The record is from RefSeq and is a predicted model, not a curated record. NCBI's taxonomy places the organism in Eukaryota, Metazoa, Arthropoda, Insecta, Blattodea, Kalotermitidae. The transcript is spliced from 2 exons.
GCGGCGCGUAGUGCCAUCUUGUGGGCGUUAAUCGUUGUGGUUAAAAUCAGCAUUUUGUAAUAUAAAAAAAUAUGUUCAUUAUCUAGAAUCUUUAGUGAGUGCAGCAUUGUAUAACAUAUAAUUCUACAGAGUAAAACUUUCUUGUGCUGGUAAUGAUAACAAAUUUCCCGUGAUGGAUUCAUUUGAAUAUUGGGACAAAAGACAACGUAAAGUAAUGACAUCUAAUGAAUUGAUGGCGCUGGAAUGUCCAUCUGAUAGUGAAGAAGGGUUGAACUUCGACGAUUCAGAUGCAGACCCUACAGUAAAAAUACAGGGACCUGGAAUCGUCAGAUAGUGAAAGCGAGCCUGUAACUGCUGCACAAACAGUGAAUUCAUAUACAAAAGACUCAUCUGUGGCUGCAGCUCCCACUUCGGACAAAAGACGAAUUGGUUCACAAAAAAAAUAUUUUGUGGAAAAAACCUAGUGCUCCUUUUUCUGGUGACCUAUUCCCAUUCGAAGGAAAUACAAAGUUGCCCCAAUCAAUUUUAGAGCUAUCAACACCAUAACAAUUUUUCAGAUAUUUUUUUACUGACGAAAUAAGCAAAAUUGUAGAUGAAACUAAUCUGUACAGCAUCCACCAAAACCCAAACAAGCCAACUGACUUCACCAGCUAUGACAUUUAUAAAUUUAUUGGCAUAUGUAUUGUAAACUCUUUGGCUCCACCUGCUUGUGUCCGUGACCUUUGGAAUGACAUUACUGGAACUGAAUUAGUAAAACAGACCAUGUCUCACAGGAACUUUGAGAAAUUGCACAGAAGUUUGCAUUUCAAUGAUAAUUCCAAGCAACCAGAUGCUCAAAAUCCUGCUCAUGAUAAACUGUAUAAAAUUAGACCUGUACUGGAUUAUAUGAACCAGAAAUGUUUGUCAGCGCCUAUGUCUGAACGCCUGUCCAUUGACUAGCAGAUGUGAGCCACUAAGGCAAGGCACCAUAUGAAAAUGCACAUGAAGGAUAAGCCCAAUAAAUGGGGGUAUAAACUUUUUGUUAUUUGGGGAAAUGGGAUUUGCUCAUAAAAUCGAGAUUUACAGUAGGCAAGAAAGUGACCCGAAAAUUUGACUUGUUGGUGAACCUGAUAUUGGGGCCAGUGGGAACGUCGUGAUUCGUCUGUCAACAGAAAUACCAAGAGACCAAAAUUACAAGAUUUAUUUAGACACAUUUUAUACAUCUGUACCUUUAGCUGUGUAUCUAUUCAAGCAAGGUAUUCAGUGUGUGGGCACAAUUCAGCGAAACAGAAUUCCAACUUGCAAAUUUCAAGAUGAAAAAGAACUCAAGAAGGUACCACGUGGAUAUUCUGAAGAAUAUAUCACAAGCGUUGAGUCAGUGGACAUUUCCACUGUUUUGUAUAAAGACAACAGCCAUGUGUGUUUUCUUUCAACUUUUGUUGGAGAAAUGCCUAAAACAGAAGUCAGGAGGUUUGACAGAAAGAAGACGGAGCACAAAUUAGUGCCUUGUCCAGCAGUUGUUACAGUUUAUAAUUCCCAUAUGGGAAAUGUUGAUUUACUAGAAAGCAAUAUUGAAAGACAUCACAUAAAAAUGAGAUCAAAGCGAUGAUAUCUGUGACUGUUUUUUCAUUUGAUUGACACCAUUGUUAAUUCCUGGAUACUAUACCGAAGGAUGCUGAUUGAAAUAGGUGUAACAGACAUGCCAAUGACUUGAAAGAAAUACAGGACUGAUUUGGCCCAGAACAGAAGAAACGUGGCAGACCAAGCAACUCAGACCCGAUAGAGAGUAAGAGACUUAGACACAAAGGAUCUUCGCUGCCUCCAAAGGAUGUAAGAUUAGAUCCCUUCAAUCACUGGCCUGUAUGGAAUAAGAAGAGAACAGCAUGCAAACAUCCUAAUUGCAAAGGAUAUACAUUUGUAAUGUAUGAGAAAUGCCGAGUGAACUUGUGUCUGAAUAAAGACAAAAACUAUUUCCAUCUGUUUCAUAAUGCAUAAACUCGCUAGUAUUUAUUCAGACAGCACUUCAAUAAAUAUUCCAUGAUUUUUAAACGAUAUUUGUUAAUUUUACUUCAUAAAAUAUGAAGUUUAAUUUCUUUCCAUUUAUGUUGUAUUAGUGAAUGUAACUUGUACGCGCAGUUUUGCAUAUAUGCAAAGUGACCAAAAACACCUUUUUUUAAAAAACUAUGGGUGAUAUAUUUUUUCAUUAUUUUUAAAUAAGUAUUUACUUGUCUAUAAGUCGUGCUUUCCGAAGAAAAGUGUAACACAUAAACACAAUGAUAAUGGCUGGAUAAUAGCUGGGAUACAUACCUCCUGUAGACAGAAAGAAUCACUGUACAUUCUCAGUAGAAGCAACUACAAUUAUUUAUUUAAAUCAUACUAUAGAUCCUACUGCAUGAUAUGAAGGAGAGUAAUAAGAGAAGCUAAAAGGAAAUAUUAUAAUCAGUUAAUUACACCAGCUGAAAACAAAAUAAAAAAUACAUGGAACAUUAUCGACAUUGAAA